UUAUAAGCAAAGUUUUGUAUUUUAGAUUCAUUCAUUAAAUGAUGCAUGUGGUCUGUGAUAAAGACUGCAUACAUCAUUUAAUAAAUGAAUCUAAAAUGCAAAGUUUUACUUAUAU
Molecule: microRNA precursor, 115 nt
Organism: Medicago truncatula (barrel medic)
Lineage: Eukaryota; Viridiplantae; Streptophyta; Magnoliopsida; Fabales; Fabaceae
Rfam family: MIR2593 microRNA precursor family
Source: Rfam